This 206-nucleotide ribosomal RNA is filed under the name uncultured bacterium. Its description in RNAcentral is "partial 16S ribosomal RNA". It matches the Rfam family "Bacterial small subunit ribosomal RNA", at positions 1297 to 1500 of the family's 1533-position model. The record is from RNAcentral.
AUUGUAGUCUGCAACUCGACUACAUGAAGCUGGAAUCGCUAGUAAUCGCGGAUCAGAAUGCCGCGGUGAAUACGUUCCCGGGUCUUGUACACACCGCCCGUCACACCAUGGGAGUCAGUAACGCCCGAAGCCGGUGACCCAACCUAACCAGGAGGGAGCCGUCGAAGGCGGGACGGAUGACUGGGGUGAAGUCGUAACAAGGUAUC